UAAAAUUUUGAUCCUAAACUUGCCGCUAUUUUGAGUCAAAAUUAUACAUGCAAGUAUCAGCACACCAGUGAAAAUGCCCUAAACAACCUAAGAAAAAUAAGGAGCUGGUAUCAGGCUCACCCGACCCUCACAGCCCACGACACCUUGCUUUGCCACACCUCCACAGGUUCCCAGCAGUAAUCAACAUUAGGCCAUAAGCGCAAGCUCGACCUAGCUAUGACCCAGCAAGGCCGGUAAACUUCGUGCCAGCAACCGCGGUUAUACGAAGGGCCCAAAAUAACAUUAACGGCGUAAAGCGUGACUAGAACUUCCCGGCCUACUUAAAAAAAAUUAAAAUUUAGUUGUGAAAUACCAGAAUCAAAAGAAGCCCGCCCCACUUAAGAAAAGCACGGAUCUUUAACUCACCAAAACUAAGAAACAAACUAGGAUUAGAUACCCUACUAUGCUUAGUCCUAACCCCAGAUAUUUAUCUAACCAAAUAUGUCCGCCAGAGAACUACAAGUGAAAAACUUAAAACUCAAAGGAUUUGGCGGUGCUCCACCCAACCUAGAGGAGCCUGUCCUAUAAUCGACACCCCCCGAUCUACCCAGCCGCCCUUUGCCACUUACAGCCUAUAUACCGCCGUCGCCAGCCUAUCCUGUGAAGGACGAAAAAUAAGCGCAAUAGUUGUUCAACCACUAAAACGUCAGGUCAAGGCGUAGCUAAUGGGGCGGAAGAGAUGGGCUACACUUUCUACCAAAGAAAAAACGAAGGGCCCUAUGAAACUCAGUACCAGAAGGCGGAUUUAGCAGUAAAACAAGUGAGAGUACUUUUUUAAAAACAGCCCUGGAGCGCGCACACACCGCCCGUCACCCUCCUCAACAACCAUCGCACUAAAACUAUAAAAUCACAAACCACUAGAUGAGGCAAGUCGUAACAUGGUAAGCGCACUGGAAAGUGUGCUUGGAA
RNAcentral lists this non-coding RNA (948 nucleotides) under Dopasia gracilis (Burmese glass lizard). RNAcentral's name for it is "12S ribosomal RNA". It matches the Rfam family "Bacterial small subunit ribosomal RNA". The record is from RNAcentral. Lineage: Eukaryota; Metazoa; Chordata; Lepidosauria; Squamata; Anguidae.